Molecule: ribosomal RNA, 253 nt
Filed under: uncultured bacterium
Lineage: Bacteria
Description: partial 16S ribosomal RNA
Rfam family: Bacterial small subunit ribosomal RNA
Source: RNAcentral
UACAGAGGUCUCGAGCGUUAGGCGGAAUCACUGGGCUUAAAGCGUGUGUAGGUGGAUCGUUAAGUACCUUGUGAAAUCCCACGGCUCAACCGUGGAACUGCUGGGCAUACUGCGGGUCUUGGGCCAACUAGGGGCAGCCGGAACAAGCGGUGGAGCGGUGAAAUGCGUAGAUAUCGCGUGGAACGCCGAAGGUGAAAACAGGCUGCUGGGGUUGCGCCGACGCUGAGACACGAAAGCCAGGGGAGCAAACGGG